RNAcentral lists this ribosomal RNA (192 nucleotides) under Anaerolineales bacterium. Its description in RNAcentral is "partial 23S ribosomal RNA". It matches the Rfam family "Bacterial large subunit ribosomal RNA", at positions 2736 to 2925 of the family's 2925-position model. The record is from RNAcentral. Lineage: Bacteria; Bacillati; Chloroflexota; Anaerolineae; Anaerolineales.
CAUUGCUGGGUAGCUACGUCGGGCAGAGAUAACCGCUGAAAGCAUCUAAGUGGGAAACUCGCCUCAAGAUUAGAUCCCUGUAUUCUGGUUAACAGAGUAAGACCGCAGGUAGACCACCUGCUAUAUAGGCAACAAGUGUAAUCGCAGUAAUGUGUUGAGCUAAGUUGUACUAAUGGUCGAGGGCUGAAUCCC